UUUGAAUUUUUAAUAUUUUAUUGUUGUGAUUAACCUGUACAAUGAAUGUGUUAAAAUGAUGAGCACUGUCAGUAGAAGGAUGAACAGAGAAUUGUAGCACCAAGGUCAAAUAAGGUCAUGACAUUAUGAAAUACUACCAAUAACAAACUGCUUACAUAUUUUAUUUUUCAGAUCAUUUCAUGAGCAAUUUUUUACCUUCUGAAAAUAUUUUGUUCUGCAGGGUUGACCAGGUAAUCAACUCCUGUAGAUUUGUUGUAAGAAAAUUUAGACAGUAUUAUUUGGAUGUUACACAUCAGAAAUGUUUUUUGUUCAUAAUUGAAAAAAUGUUUUUAACCAAUGUUAGCAAGAAAAAAAAGUAUGUUUUCACAUGAGCAUAACUAUAAAAAUUAAAUGUUCAAAUUUCAUCACCCCCAUUUUUUAUAUUUUUCAAAGGGCUGAUAGUAAAUAUAAAUACAUUUUUAGUAAUAAACUUAGUAUGGAGUUCAAUGUGCGUUUCAUAUAAAUAUUACACAUUAAUUACAACAGUCAAUGAUAAAAGUCAGUCACAUGACACCUGAGUAAACCAGUAGAAAACAACUAUCUGUUAUAAAUCAUCAAAUUUGUGACACAUAAAAAUUUAAUGAAAACACUUUAUUUACCAUAUAAAAAAGGAAAUAACAAAUAUGUUUAACUCUGGGAUAAUUUCUUAUGCCAAAGUAUAAAUAUGAGGGCAAAAGAGAAACACACUGUUGUUAGCAAAAGCUACAACAAUAAAGAAAGAAAUAUUUAAUUUGCCAUUUUAUUUUUUAAAAUCCCAACCUUUUCAAAUUUAACAAGAAAGCAUACAAAAAAUAUACUUUCUUCUUUAAUUGAAAAUGCUGAUCAUGUAAAAUAACUUUUUCUAACAAUAAUUUCUUGGUCAAAAAAAUCUUUAUAUGCAUAAAAACUUUAUAUGGAUUUCAGGUAACCCUUGUUCAAGAAGCUUCACAUUGUACAAAACUUUGUCGUCACUUUGAAACUUCUAGUAAUUUCUACUGGUAAAAGUCCAAUACUGACAACAUUUGUGAUUUAACAGAACAGUGAGAGAACAAUAUACUCUUAUUAGUGAACUUUAAAAACAAUAAUUUUACUUUAAAAAAAAACGCUACAUAUAAAAUAUCCCAUUUUAAAAACAAAUGACCAAAAAACAUUAAGUUUAUUUUUAUUUAUUUAUUCAAGAAUAAUGAAAAAUAAAACUACUUCAAUUAAAUGCAUAGUAAAAUGACUAAAAUAAUAAAAUUCAUAUAAAAUUGAUUAAUAUAGAAAACUUUUUUAAUACAACAGUUUCUACUGAAAGGAUAAGAAUCUAAUUGAAACCUUGGUACAUGUAUUUGCUAACUGUUUCUUUAAUAAAAUUGGUAAAUUAAGAGUAUUAAUAUCAAGGAUAAAAAACAAUAAAAGCUGAAUGCUAGCACUAACACAUUCAUAAACAACCAGUUAAUCUUGAAACAACAUCAUCUGUACAUAUAAAGGCACAAACAGGGAUCACAGCUGACACAGAAAACAAAUCACAAAGGGGAGAUAACAUUUCUAGUUUUUAAAAGUUCUUUUUGUAGACUAACUUUUUACAACAAUAUAGCUAAUGAAUAAUGACUGAUUAAUACCUAUAUGAAAUGAAUUUAUUAUUUAAUGUUUGACUUAAUUAUGGCAAAAAAUUGUGAUCCUCUUUGAACAGUCGCUUUUUUCAUUUUUCCAAGUUUGGCUAUGUUCAGCAUCAAAUAUUAAUUCUUUUGAUAAUCAUAUACUCAAAAUUAAGCACUAAAAGAUAAGACUUAAAUUGACCGAUUGUAUUACUAAUGGAUUGUAAUUUGUCCUGCCAUAUGAAUGAUUAGGACACUUCUAAACACACUACAUUCACCAAACUAUAGGUCAAUUUGGUCAAUGUGCAAUCUGGUCAAAAAUGAAAUACGAAAUGAACAAAAGAAUAAAUGGAACUGUCUUGGCACAAUCUGUCAAGUGCAUAGAGAACGUUCUAAGCUAAUAAGAGAAUCUAAUAUCUUGUGUUUGAUAGAAAGACAUACCUAAUCAAGUAGAUAAUACUUUUAUGCUUUAUCUAUACAAUGUAAUCAUUACUUAACAGAGUUUUACAAAUUAGGUGUGAGGUACUGACUUAAGGAAAUAUAAUUUUCAUGAAACAUUAAAAUAAGAAAAGAUAUUUCUUUGAUUUCUUUUUCAAGCUGUGAUAAUUUGUUACAAGAGUUUCUACUGAAAGGAUAAGAAUGUAACUUGAAAAUAAUGUUACUUAUGGUUGCUUAAUAUCUGGGCUACAGAAGUUAAACACUGCAAAUGAAUGUAUUUAUGCAUUAACAAAGUGUAUUUAUUUAAAAAAAUGAUCAAAUUUUUAAGAUAUUCUAAAUUAAAGGAUUAGCUGAGACAUUAGAAAGUCAACACAGUGACAAUAGAAAUUAUCUUGAAAACUGUUCAUGAGGACUUCCUUGACCAUUCAAACACUAUUUAUCUAAUAAAAUAAAAUAGAAUAAUGGAAAAGCUCUUUAAUUGAGCAAUGAAUAACAACAAAGAAAAGUGUCAUGAGUUUGGUCUAGAAAAACACACAAUAGAAAAUCAUUUACAUAUUUUAAAAAAUCUGACCAUUAUAUGAAAAGAAAAUAAUGUUACUUCUAUUUACACCAUGAUAUGUUAAACUUGUUUGUGUCAAUAUAAAUAUGUCCAUACUUUAUACAAAUCUAUACAAACAUCACCUUGUAAUCAUACACAUAUACACACUUAUACUCUCCACACAUACACACCUGUACACAUUAAAACAUAGCCUUUAAAGGCUAUUCAUCAUGCAGACCAUCUCUCUCUAUAAUGAGACCAACUAUUCAUAAAUAUCCUACUCUUAUUUACUAUCAAUGUUUUAAAUAUAUUUCACAACAGAUACAACCAGGUGCUCCGCAGGGCGCAGCUUUAUACGACCGCAGAGGUCGAACCCUGAACAGUUGGGGCAAGUAUGGACAAAACAUUCUAGCGUGAUACAGCUCUGAAUUUGGAUUGUGAUCAAAUUUUUGACAUUACAUGGUGUUUUUUUUUACACAAAACAAAUGUCA
This 3065-nucleotide long non-coding RNA is filed under the name Mytilus galloprovincialis (Mediterranean mussel). The record is from RNAcentral. Lineage: Eukaryota; Metazoa; Mollusca; Bivalvia; Mytilida; Mytilidae.